UGCGUAGGCGGAAGAUUAAGUCAGUGAUGAAAUCCUGCAGCUCAACUGUAGAACUGUCAUUGAUACUGAUUUUCUUGAAUACAGUUGAGGUAGGCGGAAUAUGUAAUGUAGCGGUGAAAUGCUUAGAUAUUACAUAGAACACCGAUUGCGAAGGCAGCUUACUAAACUGUGAUUGACGCUGAGGCACGAAAGCGUGGGAAGCGAACAGGAUUAGAUACCCUGGUAGUCC
RNAcentral lists this ribosomal RNA (229 nucleotides) under uncultured bacterium. RNAcentral's name for it is "partial 16S ribosomal RNA". It matches the Rfam family "Bacterial small subunit ribosomal RNA", at positions 568 to 796 of the family's 1533-position model. The record is from RNAcentral.